GAUGAAGAACGCAGCGAAAUGCGAUAAGUAGUGUGAAUUGCAGAAUUCAGUGAAUCAUCGAAUCUUUGAACGCACAUUGCGCCCUCUGGUAUUCCGGAGGGCAUGCCUGUCCGAGCGUCAUUGCUGCCCUCCAGCCCGGCUGGUGUGUUGGGCCCCGUCCCCCUUCCCGGGGGGACGGGCCCGAAAGGCAGCGGCGGCACCGCGUCCGGUCCUCGAGCGUAUGGGGCUUUGUCACCCGCUCUUGUAGGCCCGGCCGGCGCCAGCCGACCCCCUCAAUCUAUUUUUCAGGUUGACCUCGGAUCAGGUAGGGAUACCCGCUGAACUUAAGCAUAUCAAUAAGCGGAGGA
Molecule: unclassified non-coding RNA, 347 nt
Filed under: soil metagenome
Description: partial contains 5.8S ribosomal RNA, internal transcribed spacer 2, and large subunit ribosomal RNA
Rfam family: 5.8S ribosomal RNA (bases 1-120)
Source: RNAcentral